GCUAACUUAGCUCAGUUGGUAGAGCAGCGCAUUCGUAAUGCGCAGGUCAAGAGUUCGAGUCUCUUAGUUAGCUCCA
Molecule: transfer RNA, 76 nt
Filed under: Selenomonadaceae bacterium
Lineage: Bacteria; Bacillati; Bacillota; Negativicutes; Selenomonadales; Selenomonadaceae
Also listed under: 1 other name
Description: tRNA-Thr
Rfam family: tRNA
About the family: Transfer RNA (tRNA) molecules are approximately 80 nucleotides in length. Their secondary structure includes four short double-helical elements and three loops (D, anti-codon, and T loops).
Source: RNAcentral